Molecule: ribosomal RNA, 438 nt
Filed under: uncultured bacterium
Lineage: Bacteria
Description: bacterial SSU rRNA
Rfam family: Bacterial small subunit ribosomal RNA
Source: RNAcentral
UACGGAAGGCAGCAGUGGGGAAUAUUGCACAAUGGGCGCAAGCCUGAUGCAGCCAUGCCGCGUGUAUGAAGAAGGCCUUCGGGUUGUAAAGUACUUUCAGUCGUGAGGAAGGUGUUAAGGUUAAUAACCUUAGCAAUUGACGUUAGCGACAGAAGAAGCACCGGCUAACUCCGUGCCAGCAGCCGCGGUAAUACGGAGGGUGCGAGCGUUAAUCGGAAUUACUGGGCGUAAAGGGCACGCAGGCGGUUAAUUAAGUUGGAUGUGAAAUCCCCGGGCUUAACCUGGGAAUGGCAUUCAAGACUGGUUAGCUAGAGUCUUGUAGAGGGGGUAGAAUUCCAUGUGUAGCGGUGAAAUGCGUAGAGAUGUGGAGGAAUACCGGUGGCGAAGGCGGCCCCUGAACAAGACUGACGCUCAUGUGCGAAAGCGUGGGGAGCAAAC